AUAUUUUUCAGCACACGUACCAAAAUUGGAAAAACACAGAGAUUAGCAUGACUCCUGCACAAGGAUAUUAUGUUAAUUCCUGAAGCAUUCCAUAUUUUU
This is a small nuclear RNA of Ochotona princeps (American pika), 99 nucleotides long. The record is from Ensembl. NCBI's taxonomy places the organism in Eukaryota, Metazoa, Chordata, Mammalia, Lagomorpha, Ochotonidae.